Molecule: ribosomal RNA, 802 nt
Filed under: uncultured bacterium
Lineage: Bacteria
Description: bacterial SSU rRNA
Rfam family: Bacterial small subunit ribosomal RNA
Source: RNAcentral
AGUUCUCGUUGAUGAUCGGUGCUUGCACCGAGAUUCAACAUGGAACGAGUGGCGGACGGGUGAGUAACACGUGGGUAACCUGCCCUUAAGUGGGGGAUAACAUUUGGAAACAGAUGCUAAUACCGCAUAGAUCCAAGAACCGCAUGGUUCUUGGCUGAAAGAUGGCGUAAGCUAUCGCUUUUGGAUGGACCCGCGGCGUAUUAGCUAGUUGGUGAGGUAAUGGCUCACCAAGGCGAUGAUACGUAGCCGAACUGAGAGGUUGAUCGGCCACAUUGGGACUGAGACACGGCCCAAACUCCUACGGGAGGCAGCAGUAGGGAAUCUUCCACAAUGGACGCAAGUCUGAUGGAGCAACGCCGCGUGAGUGAAGAAGGCUUUCGGGUCGUAAAACUCUGUUGUUGGAGAAGAAUGGUCGGCAGAGUAACUGUUGUCGGCGUGACGGUAUCCAACCAGAAAGCCACGGCUAACUACGUGCCAGCAGCCGCGGUAAUACGUAGGUGGCAAGCGUUAUCCGGAUUUAUUGGGCGUAAAGCGAGCGCAGGCGGUUUUUUAAGUCUGAUGUGAAAGCCCUCGGCUUAACCGAGGAAGCGCAUCGGAAACUGGGAAACUUGAGUGCAGAAGAGGACAGUGGAACUCCAUGUGUAGCGGUGAAAUGCGUAGAUAUAUGGAAGAACACCAGUGGCGAAGGCGGCUGUCUGGUCUGUAACUGACGCUGAGGCUCGAAAGCAUGGGUAGCGAACAGGAUUAGAUACCCUGGUAGUCCAUGCCGUAAACGAUGAAUGCUAGGUGUUGGAGGGUUUCC